Molecule: ribosomal RNA, 497 nt
Filed under: uncultured bacterium
Lineage: Bacteria
Description: partial 16S ribosomal RNA
Rfam family: Bacterial small subunit ribosomal RNA
Source: RNAcentral
GACGAACGCUGGCGGCGUGCCUAAUACAUGCAAGUUGAGCGAUGAAGAUUGGUGCUUGCACCGAUUUGAAGAGCAGCGAACGGGUGAGUAACGCGUGGGGAAUCUGCCUUUGGGCGGGGGACAACAUUUGGAAACGGAUGCUAAUACCGCAUAACAACUUUAAACAUAAGGUUUAAGUUUGAAAGAUGCAAUUGCAUCACUCAAAGAUGAUCCCGCGUUGUAUUAGCUAGUUGGUGAGGUAAAGGCUCACCAAGGCGAUGAUACAUAGCAGAACUGAGAGGGUGAUCGGCCACCUUGGGACGGUGACACGGCCCAAACUCCUACGGGAGGCAGCAGUAGGGAAUCUUCGGCAAUGGACGAAAGUCUGACCGCGCAACGCCGCGGGAGUGUAGAAGGUCUCCGGAUCGUAAAACUCUGUUGGUAGAGAAGAACGUUGGUGAGAGUGUAAAGCUCAUCAAGUGACGGUAACUACCCAGAAAGGGACGGCUAACUACGUG